UCCUUAUCAAUUUUUCUUUUUAUAGAACAUAUGUGGUUGUGUAGUCUUUUGCUUUGCUUUUUGAAAUGCAUUUCGUCUGUUGAUUGAGUUCCUUUCUUUUUCGCUUUAACAGAAUCCUGAGCUAACUUGUAUUGGUUCUGUAUUCAACAAGUUGAGGAAGGAGCUUGGAGAACCUGUAGACUUUGAACUUCCAGAUUGGUUUAAUAAAUCAAAGUCAAUGCAAUACACCUAUAUAAACGUAGUAAUCCUUCAUACAUGUUCUAAAAUGUUCACAAUAACUGUGUAUCUCUCAUUGCUUCUGAAGUAUUUAAUUCCGUUAUACUUAGUUUGUCUGUUUAGAUGGUGCAUAGUUUUAGAUAAUCUUCUAUUUUUGUUUGUUCUUAUAAAUUUUAGAUAUAUAUCUUACUAAAAAGGUCAAGAGAUCCUGGUUUGAUGAUGAUGGCAUAUUCUGUUCCUAUACUCCUUCCCUUGGAUCUACUAGUGUAUGUGGUAAAGAUUGCCAUUGUGGGUAAGUAAUCCAUUUGUAUGUGCUUUAUGGCAAUUUUCAUGUUUUUAUUCUCAUUUUUAUGACAUGCUGACUCCAUCUUAAGUAAUGUUCCUAAAUCUACCUUAAUUGAUUAUUUAUAAAAUUUAUUAAGUUUAUUGUCAAUAGCCAGACAACCAUCCAAAAUCAUCAUUUCUUUCUUCAGAAUGUUAUUUUUGGUGUCUGUCUGAGUACUUGUGUUUCAAUGAGUUAUAUAGUGUGCGGUUAAUUACGUUUUGCUUAAGCAUAUUCAAUUUAUCAUAUAGUAACUAUUGGUAUUUCUGUUUAUUCUCAUUGUUGUCUGACCUGAGCCUUGAUAGUGCUUGUUUCCCAAGUUGACCAUGACAUAAGAAAGCAUGUUAAAUUCCUCAAACCCCAUAAAACCAUCAAAGAAUGGGAUGGGUGUAGCUUUGAUUGGUUUGGUUACUUAAGUUUAAAAGAACACCAUGCAGACUUGUUCCAUGGAUGAAAUGGUUACUACCUUGGACUAACAUGCCAAUGGCUAGCCCAGUGAAGUGGUGUGAUGUUUAAAAUGAAUUGUUAUUGUUUUUAGAUUUUGCUGGUGCACCUAGAAUAGACUAUUUUAUUAUUUGACAUAUAUAGUCUCUGCUUGUUUGUUAUGAAAAUAUAAUAUUACAGAUGCAAAGUCAAGAUGGUUUUUGAGUCAUAUAUAUUAUUCAUUUAUUAUGCCGAGAGCUUCUAAUUGUUUUAUUCCUAUGAUGAUUUGUAGCAAUAUUUGGUAUUUUAUCCAACAUCGUUUAAUAGAGGAGUUAGGAACUUCUUCUAGCAAGUGCAUUUUUUUCCAUUUUAAGGAUAAUUGAUGGUGAAACAAGAAUUGGCAUAUUUGCAACUCGUGACAUACAAAAGGGCGAGCAUCUGACUUAUGAUUACCAGUUUGUUCAAUUUUGGUGCAGAUCAAGAUUGCCACUAUGGUGCUGUUGAGUGUAGGCGUAAGUUAGGUGCCUGACCUACCAAGCCUAAACUUUCUUCAUAUGUUGUAUUAAAAUUAGUUGCAUAUCAGGUGGCUUCAUCUUCUCGUAAAAAUUCUCGAAAAAAAUAGCCAUUCUAUUUGAGUAUAUAUAGUCUCUCUCUAGUCCCCAUGACUGUUGAAUAAUAACAAAAGUACUAAAUAAAUUGAAUUUCAACAUCUUUCUAUUAUUGGUUGGUUUUAAAGACAUGUACAUAUGUUCCAUUUGUUUAUUUUUAUAUUGUACCUAUUUUUUAUUUUUGGGUAUUAAUUUAUGUUAAGCACAUC
Molecule: long non-coding RNA, 1778 nt
Organism: Glycine soja
Lineage: Eukaryota; Viridiplantae; Streptophyta; Magnoliopsida; Fabales; Fabaceae
Exons: 2
Source: RefSeq, a predicted model, not a curated record